UCUCCGUAGGUGAACCUGCGGAGGGAUCAUUACAGAGUUCUCGCCCUCGCGGGUAGAUCUCCCACCCACUGUUAUCGUUACUGUGUUGCUUUGGCGGGCCGCCGGGCCCCGCUCGGCCGCCGGCUCCGGCUGGCGCGCGCCCGCCAGAGGCCCAGCAAACUCUGAACGUUAGUGUCGUCUGAGUACUAUAUAAUAGUUAAAACUUUCAACAACGAAUCUCUUGGUUCUG
RNAcentral lists this unclassified non-coding RNA (229 nucleotides) under plant metagenome. RNAcentral's name for it is "partial contains small subunit ribosomal RNA, internal transcribed spacer 1, and 5.8S ribosomal RNA". The record is from RNAcentral.